AUUGAACGCUGGCGGCAUGCCUUACACAUGCAAGUCGAACGGUAACAGGUCUUCGGAUGCUGACGAGUGGCGAACGGGUGAGUAAUACAUCGGAACGUGCCCGAUCGUGGGGGAUAACGAAGCGAAAGCUUUGCUAAUACCGCAUACGAUCUACGGAUGACAGCAGGGGACCGCAAGGCCUUGCGCGGACGGAGCGGCCGAUGGCAGAUUAGGUAGUUGGUGGGAUAAAAGCUUACCAAGCCGACGAUCUGUAGCUGGUCUGAGAGGACGACCAGCCACACUGGGACUGAGACACGGCCCAGACUCCUACGGGAGGCAGCAGUGGGGAAUUUUGGACAAUGGGCGAAAGCCUGAUCCAGCCAUGCCGCGUGCAGGAUGAAGGCCUUCGGGUUGUAAACUGCUUUUGUACGGAACGAAAAGACUCUGGUUAAUACCUGGGGUCCAUGACGGUACCGUAAGAAUAAGCACCGGCUAACUACGUG
RNAcentral lists this ribosomal RNA (482 nucleotides) under uncultured bacterium. RNAcentral describes it as "partial 16S ribosomal RNA". It matches the Rfam family "Bacterial small subunit ribosomal RNA", at positions 30 to 507 of the family's 1533-position model. The record is from RNAcentral.